RNAcentral lists this ribosomal RNA (433 nucleotides) under uncultured bacterium. Its description in RNAcentral is "partial 16S ribosomal RNA". It matches the Rfam family "Bacterial small subunit ribosomal RNA", at positions 29 to 507 of the family's 1533-position model. The record is from RNAcentral.
AACGAACGCUGGCGGCAUGCCUAACACAUGCAAGUCGAACGAGACCUUCGGGUCUAGUGGCGCACGGGGUCGUAACGCGUGGGAACCUGCACUUAGGUUCAGAAUAACUCCCCGAAAGGGGUACUAAUACCGGAUAAUGUCUUCGGACCAAAGAUUUAUCGCGUUUGGUUGGGCCCGCGUUGGAUUCGCUAGUUGGUAGGGUAAAAGCAUCACAAGGCGACGAUCCAUAGCUGGUCUGAGAGGAUGAUCAGCCACACUGGGACUGAGACACGGCCCAGAAUCCUACGGGAGGGAGCAGUGGGUAAUAGAGGACAAUGGGGGAAAGCCUGAUCCAGCACUGCUGCGUGAGUGAUGAAGGUCGUAGGGUUGUAAUGUUCUUUUACCCGGGAUGAUAAUGACAGUACCGGGUGAAUAAGCUCCGGCUAACUACGUG